CGGGGUGAGUAACGCGUGGAUAACCUGCCUCACACGUGGGGAUAACAGUUAGAAAUGACUGCUAAUACCGCAUAAGCGCACAGUACCGCAUGGUACAGUGUGAAAAACUCCGGUGGUGUGAGAUGGAUCCGCGUCUGAUUAGCCAGUUGGCGGGGUAACGGCCCACCAAAGCGACGAUCAGUAGCCGACCUGAGAGGGUGACCGGCCACAUUGGGACUGAGACACGGCCCAA
RNAcentral lists this ribosomal RNA (232 nucleotides) under uncultured bacterium. RNAcentral's name for it is "partial 16S ribosomal RNA". It matches the Rfam family "Bacterial small subunit ribosomal RNA", at positions 104 to 334 of the family's 1533-position model. The record is from RNAcentral.